CUGCUAGUCCCCAAAGAGCUCCGGACUCCCGAAAUACUCCUCACCGUCUGGGCUCGAUCAACACAUCACAAUCAUCACGCAUACCAAGACAAACAUGCAAGAGAACAAUUCCUAAAGUUAGAACAGUACACCAGCAGUAAAUAAAUUAAAUAAAAGUUUUCCAAAAAUCAUCUACGUGCUGCUACGAUCACAUCAACGCGAAAUUCACGAAAAACGGACUUACGACGCGAAAGUUAGGCUUUUAACGGGAUUUCA
RNAcentral lists this long non-coding RNA (255 nucleotides) under Sorghum bicolor (sorghum). RNAcentral describes it as "long non-coding RNA (SBIC_LNC011668)". The record is from RNAcentral. Lineage: Eukaryota; Viridiplantae; Streptophyta; Magnoliopsida; Poales; Poaceae.